RNAcentral lists this ribosomal RNA (393 nucleotides) under uncultured bacterium. RNAcentral's name for it is "bacterial SSU rRNA". It matches the Rfam family "Bacterial small subunit ribosomal RNA", at positions 29 to 406 of the family's 1533-position model. The record is from RNAcentral.
AACGAACGCUGGCGGCGUGCCUAACACAUGCAAGUCGUGCGAGAAAGUUCCUUCGGGAGCGAGUAAAGCGGCGCACGGGUGAGUAACACGUAGGUAACCUGCCCCCCAGUCUGGAACAACUAGAGGAAACUCUAGCUAAUGCCGGAUGAGACCACGAUCCCUUCGGGGGUUGCGGCCAAAGAUGGCCUCUACUUGUAAGCUAUCGCUGAGGGAUGGGCCUGCGGGCCAUUAGCUUGUUGGUGAGGUAACGGCUCACCAAGGCUGUGAUGGCUAGCUGGUCUGAGAGGAUGACCAGCCACACUGGGACUGAGACACGGCCCAGACUCCUACGGGAGGCAGCAGUGGGAAUACUGCGCAAUGGGCGAAAGCCUGACGCAGCGACGCCGCGUGGGU